RNAcentral lists this transfer RNA (71 nucleotides) under Marmota marmota marmota (Alpine marmot). It matches the Rfam family "tRNA". From Rfam's summary of the family: Transfer RNA (tRNA) molecules are approximately 80 nucleotides in length. Their secondary structure includes four short double-helical elements and three loops (D, anti-codon, and T loops). Further hydrogen bonds mediate the characteristic L-shaped molecular structure. tRNAs have two regions of fundamental functional importance: the anti-codon, which is responsible for specific mRNA codon recognition, and the 3' end, to which the tRNAs corresponding amino acid is attached (by aminoacyl-tRNA synthetases). tRNAs cope with the degeneracy of the genetic code in two manners: having more than one tRNA (with a specific anti-codon) for a particular amino acid; and 'wobble' base-pairing, i.e. permitting non-standard base-pairing at the 3rd anti-codon position. Lineage: Eukaryota; Metazoa; Chordata; Mammalia; Rodentia; Sciuridae. RNAcentral also lists the same sequence under 1 other name. The record is from Rfam by way of RNAcentral.
GUGGCUGUGGCUCAGUGGUAGUGCACUUGCCUGGCAUGUAUGAGGCACUGGGUUUGAUUCUCAGCACCACA